GAGUUUGAUCUUGGCUCAGAUUGAACGCUGGCGGCAUGCCUUACACAUGCAAGUCGAACGGCAGCACGGGAGCUUGCUCCUGGUGGGCGAGUGGCGAACGGGUGAGUAAUGCAUCGGAACGUAUCCUGGAGUGGGGGAUAACGUAGCGAAAGUUACGCUAAUACCGCAUAUUCUGUGAGCAGGAAAGCGGGGGACCUUCGGGCCUCGCGCUCUUGGAGCGGCCGAUGUCGGAUUAGCUAGUUGGUGAGGUAAAGGCUCACCAAGGCGACGAUCCGUAGCAGGUCUGAGAGGAUGAUCUGCCACACUGGAACUGAGACACGGUCCAGACUCCUACGGGAGGCAGGCAGUGGGAAUUUUGGACAAUGGGGGCAACCCUGAUCCAGCCAUGCCGCGUGAGUGAAGAAGGCCUGGUGUAAG
This 417-nucleotide ribosomal RNA is filed under the name bacterium enrichment culture clone ALO1_GLFRUDD03GY2AA. Its description in RNAcentral is "bacterial SSU rRNA". It matches the Rfam family "Bacterial small subunit ribosomal RNA", at positions 9 to 429 of the family's 1533-position model. The record is from RNAcentral.